UCCCUGGAGGACUAGUGGUUAAGCCUCGCCGCUCUCACUCCCGCGGCCUGGGUUCGAUUUCCCGGCCAGGGAA
Pangasius djambal is the source of this 73-nucleotide non-coding RNA. The record is from the annotation of a GenBank genome assembly. Lineage: Eukaryota; Metazoa; Chordata; Actinopteri; Siluriformes; Pangasiidae.